CGGGGACCCNCCACAAGCGGUGGAUGAUGUGGGUUNAAUUCNGAUGCCAACGCGGAAAAACCCUUACCCCACCUUUGANCAUGUACCGNAACCCUUUAGANAUAGAGGGGGUGCUCCGAAAGAGAACCGUAACACAGGUGCUGCAUGGCUGUNGUCAUUUCGUGUCGUGAGAUGUUGGGUUAAGUCCCGCAACGAGCGCAACCCUUGCCAUUAGUUGCUANGAAAGGGCACUCUAAUGGGACUGCCGGUGACAAACCGGAGGAAGGUGGGGAUGACGUCAAGUCCUCAUGGCCCUUAUAGGUGGGGCUACACACGUCAUACAAUGGCCGGUACAAAGGGUAGCCAACCCGCGAGGGGGAGCCAAUCCCAUAAAGCCGGUCGUAGUCCGGAUCGCAGUCUGCAACUNGACUGCGUGAAGUCGGAAUCGCUAGUAAUCGUGGAUCAGCAUGUCACGGUGAAUACGUUCCCGGUUCUUGUACACNCCGCCCGUCACACCAUGGGAGCGGGUUCGUUCCAGAAGUAGUGUAUGCCUUAAUCCGUAAGGAGGAGCGCUUACUCAUCGGUCAGGGUUCGUGAUUGUGGGUGAAGUCGUAACAAGGUAUGCCGUAUCGGAAGGUGCGGCUGGAUCACCUCCUU
This 636-nucleotide ribosomal RNA is filed under the name uncultured beta proteobacterium. Its description in RNAcentral is "bacterial SSU rRNA". It matches the Rfam family "Bacterial small subunit ribosomal RNA", at positions 914 to 1532 of the family's 1533-position model. The record is from RNAcentral. Lineage: Bacteria; Pseudomonadati; Pseudomonadota; Betaproteobacteria.